UGUCAAGCAAUUACAGAUCAAUUAGCUUGGAUCUUGGUCCUAUAUGUAUUAUUUUGUAGGAUAAUUUCAAAGAAUCUAAAGGAUAUAACUUCUACCAUACUAAAGAACAAGAGUUGUUCGAUAUUCUUUUUAGAAAAAGAAUACCUUAGUGAAGGUACUGAUGCCUUUAAUAUGAAACUUAUGAAGUUCGACAGAUAGAAGAAUCGACAUAAUCUAGUGAACCCAUUGAAGCAGAUUUGAUCAGAUCAAACUCGAAAUCAGUUGUAAAGGCACCAUUAA
This 279-nucleotide long non-coding RNA is filed under the name Elaeis guineensis (African oil palm). RNAcentral describes it as "long non-coding RNA (EGUI_LNC051255)". Lineage: Eukaryota; Viridiplantae; Streptophyta; Magnoliopsida; Arecales; Arecaceae. The record is from RNAcentral.